AUGGGUGAGGGAGGUAUUGCUCUUGCUGAGGCCGUGCAAUCAGGGAGGUUCAGCACCUGAUAUAGCCGUAAAGGGUUGAAAGGGUUGAUUUUGCGGGCUAGGCAACUAAGGAAGCUCAACAUCUAAAAAAGUUGAUACAAGCUUCUUUCAUCAAAGUAGGAGAUAAGAUCGAUUUGUGUC
Molecule: long non-coding RNA, 180 nt
Organism: Solanum tuberosum (potato)
Lineage: Eukaryota; Viridiplantae; Streptophyta; Magnoliopsida; Solanales; Solanaceae
Exons: 3
Source: RefSeq, a predicted model, not a curated record